This 283-nucleotide unclassified non-coding RNA is filed under the name Hevea brasiliensis (rubber tree). Lineage: Eukaryota; Viridiplantae; Streptophyta; Magnoliopsida; Malpighiales; Euphorbiaceae. The record is from RNAcentral.
CAACGAAGUCAUGUUUUGAAUGGGUUUAUGAAUUGGUGAUGUGUUUGCUGACAAUCCCUCACUUCUCUCCUAUCCAAUUCUGUGGCAAUUCAGCACUGAUUUACAUUUGUAAUAAUUUUGUUUAUUUGUGAUUUGAGGAUUAUUUUCUCCCAUUUAGCGGUGAGACAACUCGACAUGGAAUGUCCUUGUUAGAUCAUAGCUUUUGCAAGUUCACUGUAAAAUGAGUUAUUUGGGCGUUGCAGAGGAUGUAAAAUGCUCUACUGAAAAUUUUUGAAAUACGCUA